AGAGUUUGAUCCUGGCUCAGGAUGAACGCUAGCGGCAGGCUUAACACAUGCAAGUCGAGGGGCAGCGCGUUGUAGCAAUACGAUGGCGGCGACCGGCGAAAGGGUGCGUAACGCGUGAGCAACCUGCCCGUAUCCGGGACAUAAGCGGUGGAAACGCCGUCUAAUUUCCCAUAACAACGAGGGCCGCAUGGUCCAUGUUUGAAAGAUGCGUCGGAUACGGAUGGGCUCGCGAGACAUUAGCUAGUCGGCGUGGUAACGGCACACCGAGGCGACGAUGUCUAGGGGUUCUGAGAGGAAGGUCCCCCACACUGGAACUGAGACACGGUCCAGACUCCUACGGGAGGCAGCAGUGGGGGAUAUUGCACAAUGGGCGAAAGCCUGAUGCAGCAACGCCGCGUGAGGGAAGACGGUUUUCGGAUUGUAAACCUCUGUCUUUGGUGAAGAAGGAAGUGACGGUAGCCAAGGAGGAAGCCACGGCUAACUACGUGCC
This 490-nucleotide ribosomal RNA is filed under the name uncultured organism. Its description in RNAcentral is "SSU rRNA". It matches the Rfam family "Bacterial small subunit ribosomal RNA", at positions 8 to 509 of the family's 1533-position model. The record is from RNAcentral.